UACGUAGGGGGCAAGCGUUGUCCGGAUUUAUUGGGCGUAAAGAGCGUGUAGGCGGCCAGAUAGGUCCGUUGUGAAAACUCGAGGCUCAACCUCGGGACGCCGAUGGAAACCAUUUGGCUAGAGUCCGGAAGAGGAGAGUGGAAUUCCUGGUGUAGCGGUGAAAUGCGCAGAUAUCAGGAAGAACACCCGUGGCUAAGGCGGCUCUCUAGUACGGUACUGACGCUGAGACGCGAAAGCGUGGGGAGCGAACAGG
This 253-nucleotide ribosomal RNA is filed under the name uncultured bacterium. Its description in RNAcentral is "partial 16S ribosomal RNA". It matches the Rfam family "Bacterial small subunit ribosomal RNA", at positions 524 to 776 of the family's 1533-position model. The record is from RNAcentral.